CAGUAGCCGCGGGAAUACAGAGGGUGCGAGCGUUAAUCGGAUUUACUGGGCGUAAAGCGUGCGUAGGCGGCUUCUUAAGUCGGAUGUGAAAUCCCUGAGCUUAACUUAGGAAUUGCAUUCGAUACUGGGAAGCUAGAGUAUGGGAGAGGAUGGUAGAAUUCCAGGUGUAGCGGUGAAAUGCGUAGAGAUCUGGAGGAAUACCGAUGGCGAAGGCAGCCAUUUGGCCUAAUACUGACGCUGAGGUACGAAAGCAUGGGGAGCAAACAGGAUUAGAUACCCGCGUAGUCCCUGUCUCUUAUAC
Molecule: ribosomal RNA, 301 nt
Filed under: uncultured bacterium
Lineage: Bacteria
Description: partial 16S ribosomal RNA
Rfam family: Bacterial small subunit ribosomal RNA
Source: RNAcentral